ACGUAGGGUGCGAGCGUUAAUCGGAAUUACUGGGCGUAAAGCGUGCGCAGGCGGUUUGAUAAGACAGGCGUGAAAUCCCCGAGCUUAACUUGGGAAUGGCGCUUGUGACUGUCAGGCUAGAGUAUGUCAGAGGGGGGUAGAAUUCCACGUGUAGCAGUGAAAUGCGUAGAGAUGCGGAGGAACACCGAUGGCAAAGGCAGCCCCCUGGGCUGACACUGACGCUGAGGCACGAAAGCGUGGGGAGCAAACAGGA
RNAcentral lists this ribosomal RNA (253 nucleotides) under uncultured prokaryote. Its description in RNAcentral is "partial 16S ribosomal RNA". It matches the Rfam family "Bacterial small subunit ribosomal RNA", at positions 525 to 777 of the family's 1533-position model. The record is from RNAcentral.